GAUGAACGCUGGCGGCGUGCCUAAUACAUGCCAGUCGAGCGAACAGAUAAGGAGCUUGCUCCUCUGACGUUAGCGGCGGACGGGUGAGUAACACGUGGAUAACCUACCUAUAAGACUGGGAUAACUUCGGGAAACCGGAGCUAAUACCGGAUAAUAUAUUGAACCGCAUGGUUCAAUAGUGAAAGACGGUUUUGCUGUCACUUAUAGAUGGAUCCGCGCCGCAUUAGCUAGUUGGUAAGGUAACGGCUUACCAAGGCAACGAUGCGUAGCCGACCUGAGAGGGUGGUCGGCCACACUGGAACUGAGACAGGGUCCAGACUCCUACGGGAGGCAGCAGUAGGGAAUCUUCCGCAAUGGGCGAAAGCCUGACGGAGCAACGCCGCGUGAGUGAUGAAGGUCUUCGGAUCGUAAAACUCUGUUAUUAGGGAAGAACAAAUGUGUAAGUAACUAUGCACGUCUUGACGGUACCUAAUCAGAAAGCCACGGCUAACUACGUG
RNAcentral lists this ribosomal RNA (497 nucleotides) under uncultured bacterium. RNAcentral's name for it is "partial 16S ribosomal RNA". It matches the Rfam family "Bacterial small subunit ribosomal RNA", at positions 28 to 507 of the family's 1533-position model. The record is from RNAcentral.